RNAcentral lists this ribosomal RNA (376 nucleotides) under uncultured Flavobacterium sp. RNAcentral describes it as "bacterial SSU rRNA". It matches the Rfam family "Bacterial small subunit ribosomal RNA", at positions 9 to 387 of the family's 1533-position model. Lineage: Bacteria; Pseudomonadati; Bacteroidota; Flavobacteriia; Flavobacteriales; Flavobacteriaceae. The record is from RNAcentral.
GAGUUUGAUCGUGGCUCAGGAUGAACGCUAGCGGGAGGCCUAACACAUGCAAGCCGAGCGGUAGAGAUUCUUCGGAAUCUUGAGAGCGGCGUACGGGUGCGGAACACGUGUGCAACCUGCCUUUAUCAGGGGGAUAGCCUUUCGAAAGGAAGAUUAAUACCCCAUAAUAUAUUAAGUGGCAUCACUUGAUAUUGAAAACUCCGGUGGAUAAAGAUGGGCACGCGCAAGAUUAGAUAGUUGGUAGGGUAACGGCCUACCAAGUCAGUGAUCUUUAGGGGGCCUGAGAGGGUGAUCCCCCACACUGGUACUGAGACACGGACCAGACUCCUACGGGAGGCAGCAGUGAGGAAUAUUGGACAAUGGGUGAGAGCCUGAU